CCUGGUUGAUCCUGCCAGUAGUCAUAUGCUUGUCUCAAAGAUUAAGCCAUGCAUGUCUAAGUAUAAGCGACUAUACUGUGAAACUGCGAAUGGCUCAUUAAAUCAGUUAUGGUUUAUUUGAUGGUACCUUGCUACUUGGAUAACCGUAGUAAUUCUAGAGCUAAUACAUGCAGGAGUUCCCGACUCACGGAGGGAUGUAUUUAUUAGAUAAGAAACCAAACCGGUCUCCGGUUGCGUGCUGAGUCAUAAUAACUGCUCGAAUCGCACGGCUCUACGCCGGCGAUGGUUCAUUCAAAUUUCUGCCCUAUCAGCUUUCGAUGGUAGGAUAGAGGCCUACCAUGGCGUUAACGGGUAACGGAGAAUUAGGGUUCGAUUCCGGAGAGGGAGCCUGAGAAAUGGCUACCACAUCCAAGGAAGGCAGCAGGCGCGUAAAUUGCCCGAAUCCUGACACAGGGAGGUAGUGACAAGAAAUAACAAUACAGGGCUAUUUUAGUCUUGUAAUUGGAAUGAGUACAAUUUACAUCUCUUCACGAGGAUCAAUUGGAGGGCAAGUCUGGUGCCAGCAGCCGCGGUAAUUCCAGCUCCAAUAGCGUAUAUUAAAGUUGUUGCAGUUAAAACGCUCGUAGUCGGAUUUCGGGGCGGGCCGACCGGUCUGCCGAUGGGUAUGCACUGGCCGGCGCGUCCUUCCACCCGGAGACCGCGCCUACUCUUAACUGAGCGGGCGCGGGAGACGGGUCUUUUACUUUGAAAAAAUCAGAGUGUUUCAAGCAGGCAGUCGCUCUUGCAUGGAUUAGCAUGGGAUAAUGAAAUAGGACUCUGGUGCUAUUUUGUUGGUUUCGAACACCGGAGUAAUGAUUAACAGGGACAGUCAGGGGCACUCGUAUUCCGCCGAGAGAGGUGAAAUUCUCAGACCAGCGGAAGACGAACCACUGCGAAAGCAUUUGCCAGGGAUGUUUUCACUGAUCAAGAACGAAAGUUAGGGGAUCGAAGACGAUCAGAUACCGUCGUAGUCUUAACCAUAAACCAUGCCGACUAGGGAUUGGAGGAUGUUCCAUUUGUGACUCCUUCAGCACCUUUCGGGAAACUAAAGUCUUUGGGUUCCGGGGGGAGUAUGGUCGCAAGGCUGAAACUUAAAGGAAUUGACGGAAGGGCACCACCAGGAGUGGAGCCUGCGGCUUAA
This 1180-nucleotide ribosomal RNA is filed under the name Emiliania huxleyi CCMP1516. RNAcentral's name for it is "SSU rRNA". It matches the Rfam family "Eukaryotic small subunit ribosomal RNA", at positions 3 to 1193 of the family's 1831-position model. The record is from RNAcentral. Lineage: Eukaryota; Haptophyta; Isochrysidales; Noelaerhabdaceae.